Molecule: ribosomal RNA, 245 nt
Filed under: uncultured Gammaproteobacteria bacterium
Lineage: Bacteria; Pseudomonadati; Pseudomonadota; Gammaproteobacteria
Description: partial 16S ribosomal RNA
Rfam family: Bacterial small subunit ribosomal RNA
Source: RNAcentral
UACGGAGGGUGCGAGCGUUAAUCGGAAUUACUGGGCGUAAAGCGCACGUAGGCGGUUUGUUAAGCUGGAUGUGAAAGCCCCGGGCUCAACCUGGGAAUUGCAUUCAGAACUGGCAGGCUAGAGUACGGUAGAGGUGAGUGGAAUUUCCUGUGUAGCGGUGAAAUGCGUAGAUAUAGGAAGGAACAUCAGUGGCGAAGGCGACUCACUGGACUGAUACUGACGCUGAGGUGCGAAAGCGUGGGGAG